GAUGAACGCUGGCGGCGUGCCUAAUACAUGCAAGUCGAGCGAACGGACGAGAAGCUUGCUUUUCUGAUGUUAGCGGCGGACGGGUGAGUAACACGUGGAUAACCUACCUAUAAGACUGGGAUAACUUCGGGAAACCGGAGCUAAUACCGGAUAAUAUUUUGAACCGCAUGGUUCAAAAGUGAAAGACGGUCUUGCUGUCACUUAUAGAUGGAUCCGGGCUGAAUUAGCUAGUUGGUAAGGUAACGGCUUACCAAGGCAACGAUGCAUAGCCGACCUGAGAGGGGGAUCGGCGACACUGGAACUGAGACACGGUCCAGACUCUACGGGAGGCAGCAGUAGGGAAUCUUCCGCAAUGGGCGAAAGCCUGACGGAGCAACGCCGCGUGAGUGAUGAAGGUCUUCGGAUCGUAAAACUCUGUUAUUAGGGAAGAACAUAUGUGUAAGUAACUGUGCACAUCUUGACGGUACCUAAUCAGAAAGUCACGGCUAACUACGUG
RNAcentral lists this ribosomal RNA (496 nucleotides) under uncultured bacterium. RNAcentral describes it as "partial 16S ribosomal RNA". It matches the Rfam family "Bacterial small subunit ribosomal RNA", at positions 28 to 507 of the family's 1533-position model. The record is from RNAcentral.